Molecule: non-coding RNA, 222 nt
Filed under: [Bacillus] enclensis
Lineage: Bacteria; Bacillati; Bacillota; Bacilli; Caryophanales; Bacillaceae
Description: Bacillus enclensis T-box sequence
Rfam family: T-box leader
About the family: Uncharged tRNA acts as the effector for transcription antitermination of genes in the T-box leader family. T-boxes are found upstream of many aminoacyl-tRNA synthetase genes and some amino acid biosynthetic genes usually in Gram-positive bacteria.
Source: RNAcentral
UUUCAGACGUUGAUCGGGAGUAGUAAUGAAUGUUUUCUGUCUUAGAGAGUUGACGGGUGGUGGAAGUCAACCGGGAACAUCAUGAACUCGCCUGCUGAGUUGCAAGUGUGAACAAUCAGUAAGACUUGCCGUUUUCCGCGUUAAGGAUGAAUGAAGCUGAGUGCGCGUACACUAAUGUGGGUGGUACCGCGGGAGAAUAUAUACAUAACUCUCGUCCCAAAU